UCAGAGUUGACCUCUGGGCUUCUGUACCGGUAGGCUGGGCUGUCAGUGGAAAACGGGCUUAAGGGUGGAGAGUCAGUCUCUGUCUACAUCCUCCUGCAGAUGCUCACGAGCUCUAUAAAUCUAGCGACUGCGUGGUCCCCUAGGGCUUGCCCUCAAUUUAGAGAAAGACUAGAGGGCAAUAUUCAGAGAGCAGAGUGCUUAUUCAUUCUGUUUCUCGUCUUCCGGCCCUUUUCCGGAAAGCUACAUCCUACCCACUUGCCCUACGUGUGGGCCUUGAGGGCUUCUGUAGAUUAUCUGGGAAUUUGUAUUAGUAUGUUUAUGAAAACUGGACAAGCUGGAGCAGAUCCAAUCAGAAGGCAGGCGUCUGUAUCUUGACUGUACAUGACUCAAAUGGUUAAUCAAGUUGUAACCCACUGGGAAUUUUUUUCUUUUGGUCAUAAUGCUCAUACUGUGCAAGAAAGCAUUAGAAUUGCAGUCUUGCGGUAGGCCACCAGCUGACUGAAGGAGAUCAACUACAGGGCCUUUGGUUGUAAUAGCUAUGUGUAUUGAGUAACUAAGUAGUUACCUGGGCCAAGGGCCAAGUAUGUAUUUUAUAUGAAUCUUUCAUUUAAGCCUCAUAACACUUUUUUUUUUUUUGGUACUGGGGUUGAACCCAGAGGUGGUGCUUUAUCCCUGAGCUACAUCCCCAGCGCCUACCCCAUCCCUAUUUUUUGAAAAUUUUAAGACAGGGUCUCCCUAAGUUGCUUAGGGCUUUGCUAAAUUGCUGAGGCUGGCCUUGCAACCACCUCCUGCCUCAGCCUCCUGAGUUGCUGGGAUUAUAAGCGUUUGUAACUGGCCCUGGCAAUACAACACUCUUUGAGAUAAGGAUUAUUAUGAUCCCUGAGUCUACUUAAUGCCAAAUGCUCAUUAAUAACUACCAUCUCUCAUACUUUUAUUUUGUUAUAAUAUUUAUUGGUAUGCAACAGAUGGCCCAUUUUUUACUUUUGCCGGAAGUCAGAGAAUUAUCAAACCUGCAGUUUUUAUUUUAAAGAAAUGAAUUGCAUCAUUAUCAUUACCCAGAAACAGGUGUUGCUCAACAAAAU
RNAcentral lists this long non-coding RNA (1082 nucleotides) under Marmota monax (woodchuck). Lineage: Eukaryota; Metazoa; Chordata; Mammalia; Rodentia; Sciuridae. The record is from RNAcentral.